Molecule: transfer RNA, 57 nt
Filed under: Biomphalaria glabrata
Lineage: Eukaryota; Metazoa; Mollusca; Gastropoda; Planorbidae
Rfam family: tRNA
About the family: Transfer RNA (tRNA) molecules are approximately 80 nucleotides in length. Their secondary structure includes four short double-helical elements and three loops (D, anti-codon, and T loops). Further hydrogen bonds mediate the characteristic L-shaped molecular structure. tRNAs have two regions of fundamental functional importance: the anti-codon, which is responsible for specific mRNA codon recognition, and the 3' end, to which the tRNAs corresponding amino acid is attached (by aminoacyl-tRNA synthetases). tRNAs cope with the degeneracy of the genetic code in two manners: having more than one tRNA (with a specific anti-codon) for a particular amino acid; and 'wobble' base-pairing, i.e. permitting non-standard base-pairing at the 3rd anti-codon position.
Source: Rfam by way of RNAcentral
UGGCUGAGUGGUAAAGCGUUGGGCUUCCGAACCUGAGGUCCAGGGUUCGAAUCCUGG